This 1535-nucleotide ribosomal RNA is filed under the name Escherichia coli. RNAcentral describes it as "partial 23S ribosomal RNA". It matches the Rfam family "Bacterial large subunit ribosomal RNA", at positions 1292 to 2810 of the family's 2925-position model. The record is from RNAcentral. Lineage: Bacteria; Pseudomonadati; Pseudomonadota; Gammaproteobacteria; Enterobacterales; Enterobacteriaceae.
GAAUGCUGACAUAAGUAACGAUAAAGCGGGUGAAAAGCCCGCUCGCCGGAAGACCAAGGGUUCCUGUCCAACGUUAAUCGGGGCAGGGUGAGUCGACCCCUAAGGCGAGGCCGAAAGGCGUAGUCGAUGGGAAACAGGUUAAUAUUCCUGUACUUGGUGUUACUGCGAAGGGGGGACGGAGAAGGCUAUGUUGGCCGGGCGACGGUUGUCCCGGUUUAAGCGUGUAGGCUGGUUUUCCAGGCAAAUCCGGAAAAUCAAGGCUGAGGCGUGAUGACGAGGCACUACGGUGCUGAAGCGACAAAUGCCCUGCUUCCAGGAAAAGCCUCUAAGCAUCAGGUAACAUCAAAUCGUACCCCAAACCGACACAGGUGGUCAGGUAGAGAAUACCAAGGCGCUUGAGAGAACUCGGGUGAAGGAACUAGGCAAAAUGGUGCCGUAACUUCGGGAGAAGGCACGCUGAUAUGUAGGUGAAGCGACUUGCUCGUGGAGCUGAAAUCAGUCGAAGAUACCAGCUGGCUGCAACUGUUUAUUAAAAACACAGCACUGUGCAAACACGAAAGUGGACGUAUACGGUGUGACGCCUGCCCGGUGCCGGAAGGUUAAUUGAUGGGGUUAGCGGUAACGCGAAGCUCUUGAUCGAAGCCCCGGUAAACGGCGGCCGUAACUAUAACGGUCCUAAGGUAGCGAAAUUCCUUGUCGGGUAAGUUCCGACCUGCACGAAUGGCGUAAUGAUGGCCAGGCUGUCUCCACCCGAGACUCAGUGAAAUUGAACUCGCUGUGAAGAUGCAGUGUACCCGCGGCAAGACGGAAAGACCCCGUGAACCUUUACUAUAGCUUGACACUGAACAUUGAGCCUUGAUGUGUAGGAUAGGUGGGAGGCUUUGAAGUGUGGACGCCAGUCUGCAUGGAGCCGACCUUGAAAUACCACCCUUUAAUGUUUGAUGUUCUAACGUGGGCCCCUUACCGGGGUUGCGGACAGUGUCUGGUGGGUAGUUUGACUGGGGCGGUCUCCUCCUAAAGAGUAACGGAGGAGCACGAAGGUUGGCUAAUCCUGGUCGGACAUCAGGAGGUUAGUGCAAUGGCAUAAGCCAGCUUGACUGCGAGCGUGACGGCGCGAGCAGGUGCGAAAGCAGGUCAUAGUGAUCCGGUGGUUCUGAAUGGAAGGGCCAUCGCUCAACGGAUAAAAGGUACUCCGGGGAUAACAGGCUGAUACCGCCCAAGAGUUCAUAUCGACGGCGGUGUUUGGCACCUCGAUGUCGGCUCAUCACAUCCUGGGGCUGAAGUAGGUCCCAAGGGUAUGGCUGUUCGCCAUUUAAAGUGGUACGCGAGCUGGGUUUAGAACGUCGUGAGACAGUUCGGUCCCUAUCUGCCGUGGGCGCUGGAGAACUGAGGGGGGCUGCUCCUAGUACGAGAGGACCGGAGUGGACGCAUCACUGGUGUUCGGGUUGUCAUGCCAAUGGCACUGCCCGGUAGCUAAAUGCGGAAGAGAUAAGUGCUGAAAGCAUCUAAGCACGAAACUUGCCCCGAGAUGAGUU